CUACGGGACGCACCAGUAGGGAAUAUUGGUAAUGGGCGAAAGCCUGAACCAGCAACGCCGCGUGCACGAUGAAGGCCUUCGGGUUGUAAAGUGCUUUUUGAGGGGAUGAAGAAGGACAGUACCCUCAGAAUAAGCCUCGGCUAACUACGUGCCAGCAGCCGCGGUAAAACGUAGGAGGCAAGCGUUAUCCGGAUUUAUUGGGCGUAAAGCGCGUGCAGGCGGUUUGACAAGUUGGAUGUGAAAGCUCCCGGCUUAACUGGGAGAGGUCGUUCAAAACUGUCAGACUAGAGAAUGGGAGAGGGAGGUGGAAUUCCGGGUGUAGUGGUGAAAUGCGUAGAUAUCCGGAGGAACACCAGUGGCGAAAGCGGCCUCCUAGACCAUUUCUGACGCUAAGACGCGAAAGCUAGGGUAGCAAACGGGAUUAGAUACCCCCGUAGUC
Molecule: ribosomal RNA, 439 nt
Filed under: uncultured bacterium
Lineage: Bacteria
Description: partial 16S ribosomal RNA
Rfam family: Bacterial small subunit ribosomal RNA
Source: RNAcentral